GGUGUGGAGGUGUCCUUGUUGCGUCUAUUUGGGGGCAGACACUGGGUCAGGUCAGGAACACACCAGAGGGAUUAAGGCAGUGCCUUGGAAUCCCUCAGGAGGAGUUGGAGGAAGUGGGGAGUGAGACAUCUGACGUAUUUUGCUUCAUUUGAUACCACCACAACUUGGACCCACCAGAGCUGCUGAAUACAGAUAGAUGGACGUUUUAAGCUACAUCCAUGGAAAUGUCUCCUUCACAAUAUCUAUGAUGCGCAGUACAGUCGGUGCUGAUUCUCCCCUGUGGUUCGGCCAUCAACAGACAUUGGAACCUCAGUUGAGUGGUGGCACAACCAGAAAGGGACACGGCUGUAACCAGAGUAUGUGAGAGG
Long non-coding RNA from Xiphias gladius (swordfish), 368 nucleotides. RefSeq lists it as uncharacterized. Lineage: Eukaryota; Metazoa; Chordata; Actinopteri; Istiophoriformes; Xiphiidae. The transcript has 3 exons. The record is from RefSeq and is a predicted model, not a curated record.